RNAcentral lists this ribosomal RNA (492 nucleotides) under uncultured bacterium. RNAcentral's name for it is "partial 16S ribosomal RNA". It matches the Rfam family "Bacterial small subunit ribosomal RNA", at positions 29 to 507 of the family's 1533-position model. The record is from RNAcentral.
AGCGAACGCUGGCGGUAGGCCUAACACAUGCAAGUCGAACGGCAGCACAGUAAGAGCUUGCUCUUACGGGUGGCGAGUGGCGGACGGGUGAGGAAUACAUCGGAAUCUACUUUUUCGUGGGGGAUAACGUAGGGAAACUUACGCUAAUACCGCAUACGACCUACGGGUGAAAGCAGGGGAUCUUCGGACCUUGCGCGAUUGAAUGAGCCGAUGUCGGAUUAGCUAGUUGGCGGGGUAAAGGCCCACCAAGGCGACGAUCCGUAGCUGGUCUGAGAGGAUGAUCAGCCACCCUGGAACUGAGACACGGUCCAGACUCCUACGGGAGGCAGCAGUGGGGAAUAUUGGACAAUGGGCGCAAGCCUGAUCCAGCCAUACCGCGUGGGUGAAGAAGGCCUUCGGGUUGUAAAGCCCUUUUGUUGGGAAAGAAAAGCAGCAGGUUAAUACCCCGCUGUUCUGACGGUACCCAAAGAAUAAGCACCGGCUAACUUCGUG